CUGAGCUCUCCCUUGAUUCCAAAAGUGCGUGUCCUCGGAACCGGAGAGUAUAAAGCGAAAUUCUUUGCGCACCGCGUGCGGUGAUUGAAUUACGCACGGAGCCGGAGAGACGCCGGAAAAAAAAAAUCGGACUCCAUGCAUGAUAUAAUCAUCACACAUGGUGCGUGAUUCUCUGCACCGCAUGCGGUGCACAAAGAAUUGCUUAAGUGUAAAACA
Molecule: long non-coding RNA, 216 nt
Filed under: Elaeis guineensis (African oil palm)
Lineage: Eukaryota; Viridiplantae; Streptophyta; Magnoliopsida; Arecales; Arecaceae
Description: long non-coding RNA (EGUI_LNC075439)
Source: RNAcentral